Molecule: ribosomal RNA, 429 nt
Filed under: Actinomycetes bacterium
Lineage: Bacteria; Bacillati; Actinomycetota; Actinomycetes
Description: Actinobacteria bacterium partial 16S ribosomal RNA
Rfam family: Bacterial small subunit ribosomal RNA
Source: RNAcentral
UAGGGAAUCUUCCGCAAUGGGCGAAAGCCUGACGGAGCAACACCGCGUGAGUGAUGAAGGUCUUCGGAUCGUAAAACUCUGUUAUUAGGGAAGAAAAAAUGUGUAAGUAACUAUGCACGUCUUGACGGUACCUAAUCAGAAAGCCACGGCUAACUACGUGCCAGCAGCCGCGGUAAUACGUAGGUGGCAAGCGUUAUCCGGAAUUAUUGGGCGUAAAGCGCGCGUAGGCGGUUUUUUAAGUCUGAUGUGAAAGCCCACGGCUCAACCGUGGAGGGUCAUUGGAAACUGGAAAACUUGAGUGCAGAAGAGGAAAGUGGAAUUCCAUGUGUAGCGGUGAAAUGCGCAGAGAUAUGGAGGAACACCAGUGGCGAAGGCGACUUUCUGGUCUGUAACUGACGCUGAUGUGCGAAAGCGUGGGGAUCAAACAGG